RNAcentral lists this ribosomal RNA (482 nucleotides) under uncultured bacterium. RNAcentral describes it as "partial 16S ribosomal RNA". It matches the Rfam family "Bacterial small subunit ribosomal RNA", at positions 29 to 507 of the family's 1533-position model. The record is from RNAcentral.
AUUGAACGCUGGCGGCAUGCUUUACACAUGCAAGUCGAACGGUAACAGGCCGCCAGGUGCUGACGAGUGGCGAACGGGUGUGUAAUGCAUCGGAACGUGCCCAGUCGUGGGGGAUAACUACUCGAAAGAGUAGCUAAUACCGCAUACGAUCUAUGGAUGAAAGCGGGGGACCGUAAGUCCUCGCGCGAUUGGAGCGGCCGAUGUCAGAUUAGGUAGUUGGUGGGGUAAAGGCUCACCAAGCCAACGAUCUGUAGCUGGUCUGAGAGGACAACCAGCCACACUGGGACUGAGACACGGCCCAGACUCCUACGGGAGGCAGCAGUGGGGAAUUUUGGACAAUGGGCGAAAGCCGGAUCCAGCAAUGCCGCGUGCAGGAAGAAGGCCUGCGGGUUGUAAACUGCUGUUGUAAGGAACGAAACGGAGCUGGUUAAUACCCGGGGCUAAUGACGGUACCGGAAGAAUAAGCACCGGCUAACUACGUG